AGUUUAUUGCUAUUUUACCUCCCGGUGAUUGUGGAGCCGUUCGCAUGGUUCAUACGAAUCCCUUUGUGCCCAGGUUAGAUGGCCGCCAUUUCGGGACUUUACACGUGUUCGCGGCCAUCUUACGCACGAACGGCGGUGUUUGCCUGUGAACGCAUGGAACAAAAAACGGAUACGCAAACAGGCGAACACCGCUGAGACCUCCAGGAGCUCGUAAGUUCGUGCUGGAACUACCGAACGACCGGCCGUUCGGUAGUUUUGUUUAAGCAUUCAUGGGGAUUCAGGCGAACACCAGGAUGACUGUGGAUGGCAAGGGGUUCGUGGGGUUUUUAUGCACGAACGGAGACCGACCGCAAGGCCAAAACUUAUGGAACUCUUUUCGGCUGGAAAACCUGUGCGGUCGGUCAAAACUUCAAAGAUCCAUAACUCCCGAACCCCCCAACCGGAUGGACUGAAAUUUGGAUAUAUUGUUCCCCUGAGUGAGAGCUAUUAAGCGGUGCUGGACUUAAAGGUGUACCCCCUGUUUUUGGGGUACAUCCAGAAUGUAGUUAAAAGUGUGUCUGUUUUAAUUGUGUUAUAUGUUAUCUGAGGGGAGGAGACGUGGGGGUUGAACCAUGUAUGUAAUUGGCUGUUGUGAUAAUUAUGUGGGUGUAGCCUUUCAGAGGGCACCAUUGCAUAAAAGGAG
Molecule: non-coding RNA, 682 nt
Organism: Pelobates cultripes (western spadefoot toad)
Lineage: Eukaryota; Metazoa; Chordata; Amphibia; Anura; Pelobatidae
Source: the annotation of a GenBank genome assembly